UGUCUUGAUAAUAGAAUGUUGUAUGUUCAUUGUAUGGUUCAGUAUUUUCAGUCAUGUUUAAUAGGUUGUUUCUCAUGAAAAAUUCUAUUUCUGUGGUUAUAUGGUCUUCUACUUUCAUUAAGUUUAAACCUGGAAAUGUUGUUGGUUUGUUCAAGGUUAUACUGGAUAUUAUGAGCUUAGUUAUGUGUUCUAUGUAUACUGAGCUUUGUUCUUGAUUAAAGUUGCUAGUUGUGAUAAUCUCAAGAUUUUAAUAUUGUUCUCUAACCUCUGUCUUGAGUUAUGCAAUUCAUCUUGUCUCGAACUAUGGUAAAAUGUUUUUCCGACUAUAACUGUUUUUUGAUGGUUCUUAGUUCUUUAAAACCGCAUCAGGAUGGUUUGUUUGACCGUGUCUUCAUGAUCUUGAAUGUUUUUACAGCCUUGUAUCUUUUCUCGUGUGUGAGAUGUUUUUUUAUUGUAAAGUCAUGUGACAUUAUUUCUAAAGAGUUGGUUUUGGCUGUUAUGUGUAUGUGUCUGAUUUGGAUCAUGUGAUCCUCAGUUAAAUCAGGUUUGUUGUUGGGUCUUGUGAUUCAAUCGUAAUGGUGUAGAUGUUUUCUUUGUUCUGAAUCGUGUGAUUCAACUUUGUUGUUUGGACCGUUGUAGUGUUUUCUGAAUAUAGUCCGUAUGUCUUAUUGUUUUAGUGUGGUAUGAUUAGUCGAACCUUGUGGUUUGAGUGUUCUUUAAUCUGUUGAUCUGUCAAGAUUGUUCUUGAUGUCUAUGUCUGCCUUGCUUGAGGUCUAUAUGUUGAGAAUCUUUGUCUUGAAUGCUGUUAAAAUGUCUUUGGUUUGCAGUCACUAUGUCUGCUUGUCUAUAGUUUUGUUUGUAUGGUUAGUUGAGCUGUGUGGUUCAUGUUUAACCAAAGUUUUGACAAGAUUAUUUUGUAUAUGUGACAGCCUUGUAUGUUUUCUCUUGUGAGAAAUAUUGUUCUGGUUGCAAAUUGUAUAACUUUGUGAUUAAUCAGGAUUUGUAUGGCUGUGUCUUAUAGUCUUGUGUAUGUCUUGAUAUUCUCAGUCUUGUUACUUGUAUGUAUGUGAUGUUAGCCUUGUAUAUUUCUCUUAUGUAAGAGAUAUUUUUUGUUGGUUAUAAAAGCAUGUGACUGUGCAUUUUGCCAGAGUUUGUGUAGGCUAUCAUUGUUGUCUAGUGUUCUUAGUUAGAACUGUUUCUCUGUCUUGUUGACUGUUUUUUAUAGAGAAUUCUUUGAUUUGUUGUUAGUGUUUGUGUUUUCUUCAAAGGAUCUCUUGUCUCGUAUUGUAAUUGUCUGGAUUCCUUGUAUAUCUGAGUUGAAAUAUUGUUUCUUGAAAUUCUAUUUUCUUGGUUUAUUUCUCUAGGUUGUUGUGAAUAUGACUGUUACAGGGUGGAUCAGUUAGUAUUCUGUGUUAUAUAGUUCUUUGAUAAAAACUUGCUGAUAACUUUGUUUUACCUGUUAAAGCUUAGUAAAAAUAUCAUAUCAAUUUGUAUGUAUCCUAAUUUCAUGAGAGGUCUUCUCACUUUGAAAUAAAUAUGCAUAUUCUGUGAAAAGGUUUUUUGCUAGUAUUAUUGAACUUGAAAAGGUUCAUAUAGAUGUUCAGGUUGCGUAGAAAGUGAGUGUUAACUGAUGAAAGGAAGUUGGUAUUUUUAGACGUGUUUGCCACCUGGAUGAAGGGGGCAUGUUAAAAAUGUUGUAAAUGAUAUUUUCAGGCUGUCAUUCAGGUUGCAAAAUGGGUAUUAUUAACAUGUAUAGUAUAUGAAUGUUGGGUAUGUUUGAUUUAUUUAGACCCAAUUGAAUGAAGGGGGAAUGUUGAAAUGAUAUGUUUAUGGGCUCUCAUUCUAUUGGGUUCAGCCAUAUAUUUUGGGCCUCUUGUUACUAAUUUGUUUCAUAUUGCUAGUUUGUUGCAACAGUUUUUGAUGUGCUGGAUAUUUUGGAGGGUGUAAAGUGGAAGUAUCAGGGGUUGAAAUGGGCAUCUUCCAAUUCUUAUGGUUCUUUGUGUAACCUUUCAAGUGCAGCCAUAUAUAAGAUCCAUAUGAUGAGUUGAUCUCUUUCAAGUUUGGUUGAAGCUACUGAAUCGUUUUGGAGUCACUGUGCAUCAGAGUUUCUACAAGUCUUUCAGGAGAUUAGUUCUUUCUACUCUGUUAUUUAUUUGUAUCCUUUGUAUUGUAGUUGUUGUUGUUAGAUCUUUGAUAGAUCUGGUGAUCGAUUGUGAUCAUUGUUCCUGAACAUCUGAUUGUUUGUAUCAGAUGUUUAUUGUUCUGUAUUCUGUUAACAGAUCUUACUAUUUGUAAGAUCUAGGGUUUUGGGGGGUGUUUUUCGGUUUGGGUAAAUAAUAAAGUUUUGUCACCGUUUUUGUUGCU
Long non-coding RNA from Helianthus annuus (common sunflower), 2364 nucleotides. RefSeq lists it as uncharacterized. The record is from RefSeq and is a predicted model, not a curated record. The transcript has 2 exons. Lineage: Eukaryota; Viridiplantae; Streptophyta; Magnoliopsida; Asterales; Asteraceae.